RNAcentral lists this ribosomal RNA (481 nucleotides) under uncultured bacterium. RNAcentral's name for it is "partial 16S ribosomal RNA". It matches the Rfam family "Bacterial small subunit ribosomal RNA", at positions 30 to 507 of the family's 1533-position model. The record is from RNAcentral.
UUGAACGCUGGCGGCAUGCCUUACACAUGCAAGUCGAACGGUAACAGGUCUUCGGAUGCUGACGAGUGGCGAACGGGUGAGUAAUACAUCGGAACGUGCCCAGACGUGGGGGAUAACGAGGCGAAAGCUUUGCUAAUACCGCAUACGAUCUAAGGAUGAAAGCAGGGGACCGCAAGGCCUUGCGCGUUUGGAGCGGCCGAUGGCAGAUUAGGUAGUUGGUGGGAUAAAAGCUUACCAAGCCGACGAUCUGUAGCUGGUCUGAGAGGACGACCAGCCACACUGGGACUGAGACACGGCCCAGACUCCUACGGGAGGCAGCAGUGGGGAAUUUUGGACAAAGGGCGAAAGCCUGAUCCAGCAAUGCCGCGUGCAGGAUGAAGGCCUUCGGGUUGUAAACUGCUUUUGUACGGAACGAAAAGGCUCUGGCUAAUACCUGGGGCACAUGACGGUACCGUAAGAAUAAGCACCGGCUAACUACGUG